GCAAUGCAAUGGAUAGAACGGACCCCUCCUAAGGGUCAGAUGUAGGUUCGAUUCCUACUGGCCGCACCA
This 69-nucleotide transfer RNA is filed under the name Burkholderiales bacterium RIFCSPHIGHO2_12_FULL_69_20. RNAcentral's name for it is "tRNA-Arg". It matches the Rfam family "tRNA". From Rfam's summary of the family: Transfer RNA (tRNA) molecules are approximately 80 nucleotides in length. Their secondary structure includes four short double-helical elements and three loops (D, anti-codon, and T loops). Further hydrogen bonds mediate the characteristic L-shaped molecular structure. tRNAs have two regions of fundamental functional importance: the anti-codon, which is responsible for specific mRNA codon recognition, and the 3' end, to which the tRNAs corresponding amino acid is attached (by aminoacyl-tRNA synthetases). tRNAs cope with the degeneracy of the genetic code in two manners: having more than one tRNA (with a specific anti-codon) for a particular amino acid; and 'wobble' base-pairing, i.e. permitting non-standard base-pairing at the 3rd anti-codon position. Lineage: Bacteria; Pseudomonadati; Pseudomonadota; Betaproteobacteria; Burkholderiales. The record is from RNAcentral.